UUUUUGUGCCCAUUUGAAGCGCCAAUAUCGUCUAAGCGAGUGUCCACAGAACUAAAUUUGACGUAUUUUCAAAUGGCUGUGAGAGGUGUUUGUUUACUUAAAUUAAUCAUGCAUUUUUAAAUAAUUUGGUUGUAAUUUUAUGUUGUUAUUGUGAUAAGCAUUAUAAUCAAGAAUGAGGUCAUGUGUAUAUUGCAAGAGACGCUACAAAAAAGACAGUCACAUAUCAUUUCACAGACUUCCAAAAGAUUUGGAGGAAAAAAAAGUUUGGCUUCAAAACAUGAAAACCCACAACUGGACUCCUAAAACAUAUAAUUAUCUAUGUUCACUACAUUUCAAUGACGAAUGUUUUGUCAAACAUUUCAAUAGAACAGCAUUGAAACCAGGUAGCAUUCCGACAAUAUUUGAAGGAACAUCUACCUUUGCAUCAUCGCCUCAUCCGUCAAUGACUACAUCUUCGCCUCGUCCGUCAACGUCUACAUCUUCGCCUCGUUCGACAGCGUCUACGUUAUUGCCUAGUCCGUUAACUACAAAGAGUGCUACAAAAUCAGCUAAUAUACAUACUAGUUCAGCCAAACGAAAAUUACUUUGUGAUGCAAAUAUUUUAGAAUUAUCGGAUCAGUCAAAGAGGGAUCAAGAACAGCUUACUUAUCAUGAUUAUGAAGUCUCAUCAACUCCUAAAAAGGCAAGAAUCGAAGUUGGAUUGUUACAUGACCAUUGUUAUGAAAUUACACCAAGAUCAUUAAAAACAGUUGCCCAGCAAACAAGAAGAUCCUUAAAAUUUGCAAAAGUAAAAGUAAAAACUUUAAGCCAGCGUGUAAGGAGGUUGGAAUUAAAAAUAACCAACCUCAAAAGUGUCAUAAAUGAUUUAAUUUAAAAAAAUAAGGUGUCGGAAGAAUGCAUACAAAUGUUAAAACAGCAUAAUGACUUCCAAAUGGCACUUUUUAAUAGAGUGUUU
This is a long non-coding RNA of Helicoverpa armigera (cotton bollworm), 955 nucleotides long. RefSeq lists it as uncharacterized. The record is from RefSeq and is a predicted model, not a curated record. The transcript has 3 exons. NCBI's taxonomy places the organism in Eukaryota, Metazoa, Arthropoda, Insecta, Lepidoptera, Noctuidae.